This 876-nucleotide ribosomal RNA is filed under the name Leptographium galeiforme. Its description in RNAcentral is "LSU rRNA". It matches the Rfam family "Eukaryotic large subunit ribosomal RNA", at positions 35 to 938 of the family's 3401-position model. The record is from RNAcentral. Lineage: Eukaryota; Fungi; Ascomycota; Sordariomycetes; Ophiostomatales; Ophiostomataceae.
UAAGCAUAUCAAUAAGCGGAGGAAAAGAAACCAACAGGGAUUGCCCCAGUAACGGCGAGUGAAGCGGCAACAGCUCAGAUUUGGAAUCUGGCCCCCAGGGCCCGAGUUGUAAUCUGGAGAGGAUGCUUCUGGCGCGGCGCCUUCCGAGUUCCCUGGAACGGGACGCCGGAGAGGGUGAGAGCCCCGUACGGUUGGACGCCUAGCCUUUGUGAAGCUCCUUCGACGAGUCGAGUAGUUUGGGAAUGCUGCUCAAAAUGGGAGGUAAAUUUCUUCUAAAGCUAAAUACCGGCCAGAGACCGAUAGCGCACAAGUAGAGUGAUCGAAAGAUGAAAAGCACUUUGAAAAGAGGGUCAAACAGUACGUGAAAUUGUUGAAAGGGAAGCGCCCGUGGCCAGACUUGUGCCCCGCGGACCACCCGGCGCCCUCAGCGCCGGUGCACUCCGCGGGGCGCAGGCCAGCAUCGGUUUUCCUAGGGGGAUAAAGGCGGCGGGAACGUGGCUCCCUCGGGAGUGUUAUAGCCCGCCGCGCCAUGCCCCUGGGGGGACCGAGGACCGCGCUUCGGCAAGGAUGCUGGCGUAAUGGCCACCGGCGACCCGUCUUGAAACACGGACCAAGGAGUCAAGCAUUGGGGCGAGUGUCUGGGUGUUAAACCCGCACGCGAAAUGAAAGUAAACGCAGGUGAGAGCUUCGGCGCAUCAUCGACCGAUCCUGAUGUUCUCGGAUGGAUUUGAGUAAGAGCCUUACCGCUUGGACCCGAAAGAUGGUGAACUAUGCCUGUAUAGGGUGAAGCCAGAGGAAACUCUGGUGGAGGCUCGCAGCGGUUCUGACGUGCAAAUCGAUCGUCAAAUAUGGGCAUGGGGGCGAAAGACUAAUCUA